UUAUUUUGAGAGUCUUUAAACAGCAUGGUAAUUUUCUUUGGUUAUAAAUUUAGUCCUAAUAUGAUAGGCAUCCAAGAGGGAUAUAAUAAAAACUUCAAUAUAAAGUGCAUUGAAUACUAUGAGAAGUUUGAUUCCUUAUGGUUGUUUUGAGAUAUAAUGAUGGUGAUAUUAGAGUCAUGCUAGUGAGUAAUUGUGAGUCCCGUAGCAUGCACGUAUGGUGAACCAUUAUGUAACGAAGUUGGGGCAUGAAAUAUUUGUUGAUUAUCUUCCUUAUGAGUGGUGGUCGGGGACGAGUGAUGGUCUUUUCCUACCAAUCUAUCCCCCUAGGAGCAUUCGCGUAGUACUUUGUUUUGAUGACUAAUAGAUUUUUUGCAAUAAGUGUGUGAUUUCUUUAUGGCUUAUAUUGAGUCCAUGGUUAGCCUCUCUAGUGUUAGCCUCUCUAGUGUCGCGCAACUUUCGCUGGUACCUUAAACCCACCAUAUACCUUCCUCAAAACAGCCACCAUACCUACCUAUUAUGGCAUUUCCAUAGCCAUUCCGAGAUAUAUUGCCAUGCAACUUUCCACUGUUCCGUUUAUUAUGACACACUUCAUCAUUGUCAUAUUGCUUUGCAUGAUCAUGUAGUUGACAUCUUAUUUGUGGCAAAGGCACCAUUCAUAAUUCUUUCAUACAUGUCACUCUUGACUCGUUGCACAUCCCGGUACACCGCCGGAGGCACUCAUAUAGAGUCAUAUUUUGUUCUAGUAUUGAGCUGUAAUUCUUGAGUUGUAAGUAAAUAAAAGUGUGAUGAUCUUUAUUAGAGCAUUGUCCCAUGUGAGGAAAAGGGUGAUGGAGACUAUGAUUCCCACACAAGUCGGGAUGAGACUUCAGACGAAAAAAAGAGAGAGAAAAGAGAGAAGGGACAAUGUUACUAUCCUUUUACCACACUUAUGCUUCAAAGUAGCACCAUGAUCUUCAUGAUAAAGAGUCUCCUAUGGUGUCACUUUCAUAUGCUAGUGGGAAUUUUUCAUGGACCUCCUCAAAUUGCCCUAGGUCUUCGUGAGUAAGUGAGUUGGAUGCACACCCACUUAGUUUCUUUUUGAGAUUUCAUAAACUUAUAGCUCUAGUGCAUCCGUUGCAUGGCAAUCCCUACUCACUCACAUUGAUAUCUAUUGAUGGGCAUCUCCAUAGCCCGUUGAUAAGCCUAGUUGAUGUGAGACUAUCUCCCUCUUUUUGUCUUCUCCACAACCACCAUAUUUAUUCCACCUAUAGUGUUAUGUCCAUGGCUCAUGCUCAUGUAUUGCGUGAAAGUUGAAAAAGUUUGAGAACAUCAAAAGUAUGAAACAAUUGCUUGGCUUGUCAUCGGGGUUGUGCAUGAUUUAAAUACUUUAUGUGGUGAAGAUAGAGCAUAGCCAGAGUAUAUGAUUUUGUAGGGAUAAGCUUUCUUUGGCCAUGUUAUUUUGAGAAGACAUAAUUGCCUUGUUAGUAUGCUUGAAGUAUUAUUGUUUUAUGUCAAUAUUAAACUUUUGUUUUGAAUCUUAUGUAUCUGAACAUUCAUUUCACAAUAAAGAAAAUUACAUGGAUAAAUAUGUUAGCUAGCAUUCCACAUGAAAAAAAAUCUGCUUUUAUCAUUUACCUACUCGAGGACGAGCAGGAAUUAAGCUUGGGGAUGCUUGAUACGUCUCCAACAUAUCUAUAAUUUUGUAUUAUUCCAUGCUAUUAUAUUAACUAUUUUGGAUGUUUUAUAUGCAUUAAUAUGCUAUUUUAUAUUAUUUUUGGGACUAACCUAUUAACCUAGAGCCCAGUGCUAGUUCUUGUUUUUUCUUAGUUUUUGAGAUUCGCAGAAAAGGAAUACCAAACGGAGUCCAAACGGAAUGAAACAUUCCCGAUGAUUUUUCUUGGACCAGAAGACAACCACGAGACUUGGAGAUAUAGUCGGUGAUGAUGAUAUAGACCUGGGGUAGGGUCAUAGGCCUGACCUAUGCGUCCUAUCCAAGGUCACUGUCAUAGAAGCAAAGAAGCUCAAGGGACCAUAGGGAGGGCCCAACAAAGGUGUCGAGUGCAAUCCACUCAACUAAUCAGCUACUCGAAGAACCCUCCUUCCUGAAGUUGCUCGACCAAUCGACCACUUGACCAUACAAGAAUCCACUCGACCUAUUGAAGACCAGGAGUCAUCUGGAAUGGCAACGGACGAGCGUUCACUUUGUAAUCUUUAAGGCCAUUAAGGCAUUUAAGGCUGGCAUUACCAGUAACGCCUCAUCUUUAUGUACAUUGAACCCUGUGUAACGGAGGGGAGCUGGGGUCCUGGCACACUCUAUAUAAGCCACCCCCUCCUCUGGGACAAGGGUUCACACCCCCUGUAACACACACACACAUAAUCCAGUCGACCGCCUCUGGGCACCGAGACGUAGGGCUGUUACUUCCUCUGCGAAGGGCCUGAACUCGUAAAACUCGUGUGUACAACUUCACCAUAGCUAGGAUCUUGCCUCCUCAUACCUACCCCCCAUUCUACUGUCCGUCUUAGAUCCACGACAGUUGGCGCCCACCUUGGGGCGGGGGUCUUAGCGACUUUUUGGUGGAGUUGCGAUUUUUUCCGAUUCUCAUCAUCAUGGUUUCUGUCGGUGGACUGGCUGAGGGCCGUGAGACCUGUCUCGGCGCGCUCGUUUUCGUUGCCGAUGACUCCGCUUGGCUUCACGAAGCUCCACUCGACGUCGAGGCACUCCCCGUCUGUGGGGCGAUGCACUUUCGCGCGUGCGUCCACGGCGUCCUUCUCUGGCAACCGUCGACCCAGUAUCUGUCGGCUCCUAUGGUGUCCUCGCCCCCCAUUGUUCGCCGGCGCAAGCAUUCCGGUCGGUCGCGGCUCCAGCGGUGGGUGAGACACGCGGUGGCCCGUCAGUCGUCCACCCCACAAGUCGCGGCAAUCGAGCCCGACGAAACUCUCGACAGCAUGUUCGACCUAUCGACUGGCUCCGUUGAGACCGCAUCCGAGUGCGACAGCAGCAAUCCCGCGGCGAAAGUCUUGAUGGUCAAUGGACCACCCAGUCCUCCUGGCUUCCCUCAUGAUGACGGUGGUGAUGGCGGCGGUGAUCCAUCGCGCGUUCACGAGGAGUACCGCCCCGAGCCCCUUUCUUCGCAGCAGCGGGAAGAGCUUCGCCGCCGCAAUAUGGAUGCGCUUCACACUCCUAUCGUUGGAGAAACCACCGAGGCCCGGGCCUUGGAGGAGGCGCGCCUAGACAACUAGGCUGAGCGCACUCAACUGGAGAACCUUCAGCAUGCUCUCGACGAGCGUGCUCAGCAGCGGAUCCCUGAAUCCAGUUGAUGGUAGCUUUUUCCGCCUCAAACUCAAGUAUUCCGCACUCCGAUUCAAAAUCUCACAGCUGCAGCCCGAAUAGCAGAGUCAAUUCAGCCUUCCCAGUCGGAAGCUGGCAGAGGUUUGAUGCAGAUCUGGGCCUUGGUCCGAGCAGCCGGAGAGCAGAACACAGCAGUGUCUCAGUCGUGGAAUAGGAUUCAUAGCAGGUCUGUGAUGGCAGAUUCAGUUAAGUCGGCCCACAGUGCAAGAUCACCCCCGCGGCGUGAAGGACGUGGGCACAGGCAAGAUCAGUACGGAAACCACGAGCAAUAUGAUCACCAACUCGGCCAUGAUGACUGUCCUCGAGUGCCCAUGCCUCCUCUGAGGAGUGGGUCAUAUGUGUCUCGGCGGCAUGAUGACAGACGCCCUCACAGUGGCGAGCGAAGAACACUAGUCGACCCAAGGGAGCUAGGCUUUGAUGCGAGAUCUAUUCUCAUUCAAGGUCUAGUUGACAGGAACAGAGCACAAAGAGAAGGCCAUGACAGAGAUUACCCGACUGGCAGCAGAGUGCACGUUUCAGGUCCCGAGUGUUUCAGCAGAGCCAUCAGGGUCGCGGUGAUUCCUCCCAACUUCAGGUUGGCGACUGGAGUCAACAAGUUUACUGGUGAGUCUAAGCCUGACAGUUGGCUUGAAGACUACCGAUUGGCUGUACAAAUUGGUGGUGGCAAUGAUCAAGUGGCCAUGAAGCACCUUCCUCUGAUGUUGGAAGGCUCGGCCAGAGCAUGGUUGAACCAGUUAGCACCUGGCAGUAUAUUGAGUUGGGAGGAACUCGCCAGAGUGUUUGUUAGGACUUUUGAAGGUAUUUGCAAACGACCAGCGGGGUUGACAGAAUUGUAGCAUUGUGUGCAAAAACCGAAUGAAACCCUGAGAGACUAUAUCCAGAGAUGGAUCACAUUGCACCAUAUAGUGGAGCAUGUGUCAGAUCACCAAGCAGUUUGUGCCUUCAAAGAAGGCGUUAAGUAUCGAGAGUUGAAUCUGCAAUUCGGUCGGAUAGGGGAUAUGUCCUUGACUCGGAUGAUGGAGAUUGCCACCAAAUAUGCUAACGGCGAAGAAGAAGACCGACUCUGGAGUGGCAAGCACAAAAUAGUCGCCCAGGAAACCGAAGGAGGGAAUUCCAGUCGGAAACAGAAGCGCAAGGCCGAGCCAGCUACUCCUGGUGAAGCCUUAGUCGUGGCUCAAGGAAAGUUCAAGGGGAAGCCCAAAGGGCCCUGGACCCACAAGAAAGUGAAAAAUCAAGCCGGAAAUGAUGUGUUGGAUUUGCCAUGCCACAUUCACAUCAAGUACAAUGAAGAGGGUAAUCUGAUUUAUCCUAAACAUACCACUCGAUAGUGCCGAGUUUUGAUCCAGCAGUUCUGAGAAAAGCAACCCAAUGAGAAGGAAAAGGAGUUGGACAAGGAUGAGGAUAAGGAAGAAGAUGACGAUGGUUUUCCCAACUUCAAUUCCACUAUGGUGAUUUUUGCCGAUGUGGAGAGCAAAAGUCGACUGAAAGUUAUCAACAGAGAAGUAAAGAUGGUUGCUCCGGCAACACCCAGUUAUUUGAAGUGGUCUCAGACUACCAUCACAUUCAACCAGUCUGAUCACCUAGUGCGUAUAGCCACCCCUGGGAGGCAAGCGUUGGUGGUCGACCCAGUUGUUGAAGGCACUCGACUGACCAAAGUGCUAAUGGAUGGUGGUAGCGGCCUGAAUAUCCUUUAUGCUGAAACCUUGAAGGGAAUGGGCAUUCCGCUGUCCAAGCUUAGUGAAAGCAAUAUGAGUUUCCAUGGCGUUAUACCUGGCAAGAAGGCUGAAUCACUCUGCCAGAUCGCCCUUGAUGUGGUUUUUGGUGAUUCCAAGAAAAAACCACAAGGAAAAGUUGAUAUUUGAAGUAGUGGAUUUCCAGAGUGCUUACCAUGAUAUUCUGGGUAGGCCUGCCUAUGCACAUUUCAUGGCUCGGCCAUGUUAUGUGUACCUCAAAUUGAAAAUGUCUAGUCCCAAAGGAGUGAUCACUAUCACUGGCAAUCGGCAGAAGGCGGAAGAGUGCUUCCAGAAGGGCUCAAAAAUUGUCGAUGCACAAAUAGCAGCAGUCGAAAUGCAAGAAUACCGGAAAAAUGCAGAUCCAAGUGAUUUGCUGCGCUCCAAGAAGCCUGCCACAGAUUCUGCAUUUCAGUCGUCCGGUGAAACCAAGCCGAUUCAUAUUCACCCGACCGAUCCUAAUGCUGCUCCUACUCAUAUCUCAACAUCGCUCGACAGCAAAUAGGAAGAAGCGCUCAUCCAGUUCCUCCAUGAGAACUGGGACAUCUUUGCAUGGAAACCUUCUGACAUGCCGGGUGUACCCAGGGGACUGGCUGAGCAUCGUUUGUGAAUUGACCCGAAAGUAAAACCAGUCAAGGAACAUCUUCGAAGGUCCACCGUACAGAAGAAAAAAGCAAUUGGUGAGGAAGUGGCUCGGCUCCUAGUAGCUGAGUUCAUCCGAGAGAUUUACCACUCCGAGUGGCUGGCCGAUGUUGUCAUGGUCCCCAAGAAGGACGACUCACUUCGCAUGUGCAUUGACUUCAAGCAUAUCAAUCGGGCCUGCCCAAAAGAUCAUUUUCCUCUCCCCCGCAUCGACCAGAUUGUCGACUCGACUAUAGGGUGUGAGCAUUUGUCUUUUCUAGACGCCUAUUCCGAGUACCAUCAGAUCCGACUGUAUGGACCUGAUGAGAUAAAAACAGCUUUCAUCACUCCAUUCGGGUGUUUUUGUUAUGUCACCAUGCCAUUCGGUCUCAAGAACGCUAGAGCCACAUUCAUGAGGAUGAUUCAGAAGUGUCUGCUCACUCAAAUCGGUCGGAAUGUGGAAGCAUACAUGGAUGACAUUGUGGUCAAGUCACGUAAAGGUUCCAACCUGCUGGCUGACCUUGCUGAAACCUUUGCCAACCUGAGAAGGUAUGAUAUCAAGCUUAACCCAUCAAAGUGCACAUUCGGAGUUCCUGGUGGAAAGUUACUCGGCUUCCUUGUUUCCGAACGAGGGAUCGACACGAACCUAGAGAAAGUUGGUGCCAUACUCCGGAUGAAGCGCCCUGUGCAUGUGCAUGAUGUCCAGAAGCUUACUGGUUGUUUGGUCGCCUUGAGUUGAUUCAUUUCUCGCCUCAGUGAAAAGGCAUUACUCCUUUACCGACUAAUGAAGAAACCUGACAAGUUCGAGUGGACUCCUGAAGCUGAUGCAGCGUUUGCAGAACUCAAAGCCCUGCUUUCCACCCAGCCGGUGCUCGCUGCCCCAAUCAGCAAAGAGCCUUUACUGCUUUAUAUUGCAGCCACUAGACAAGUUAUUAGUACAGUACUCACAGUCGAGCGGGAAGAAGAAGGAAAAGCAUAUAAAGUUCAGCGCCCAGUAUACAAUGUUUCUGAAGUUCUGACUCCAUCCAAGCAAAGAUAUCCACAUUCUCAGAAGCUUGUUUAUGGGAUUUACAUGACCACAAAGAAGGUUGCACAUUAUUUCUCUGAUCACUCCAUUAUAGUCGUCAGCGAUGCACCAUUGUCAGAAAUUCUGAACAACAAAGAUGCAACUGGUCGAGUGGCAAAGUGGGCGAUUGAACUCCUUCCCUUGGAUAUCAAGUUUGAGCCAAAGAAAGCUAUCAAGUCCCAAGCAAUAGUAGAUUUCCUCUCCGAGUGGGUCGAACAGCAACUGCCGACUCAGAUUCACUCGGAGCAUUGGACCAUGUUCUUUGAUGGAUCCAAGAUGCUGAAUGGUUCUAGUGCUUCGGUGGUACUGGUAUCCGCCCGAGGUGACAAACUCAGCUAUGUUCUCCAGAUUCAUAUUGACUCCUCCAACAAUGAAGCUGAAUAUGAAGCACUUCUGUACGGGGUUGCGUAUGGCCAUUUCACUCGGCGUCCGUCGCCUCAUGGUCUAUGAUGACUCGGAUUUGGUGGUUAAUCAAGUAAUGGAUGAGUGGGACGUCAGAAGCCCGGCUAUGACUGGCUAUUGUAAUGCAAUGAGAAAGUUAGAGAAGAAGUUUGAAGGGUUAGAGCUCCAUCACAUACCCCGACUUAAAAAUCAAGCGGCUGAUGAUUUGGCAAAGAUAGGUUCCAAGAGGGAGGCCAUUCCUAGCAAUGUGUUUUUGGAACAUAUUCAUACACCUUUAGUUCAGGAAGACCCUUUCACUAAAGAGCCCCCACAACCAAAGAGUGCCACUGAUCCAACUGAAGUCGAAGUCCCAGCCGUGGUCGACUUGAUCAUGGAGGUUUUGGUCAUCACUCCCGACCGGAUAGUACCGUACAUUGCGUACAUUCUUGGGAAGGAACUCCCAGAGGAUGACGAAGAGGCUCGACAGAUCGUCCAUCGAUCCAAAGCCUUUACUGUGAUAAGAGGACAGCUGUACAGAGAAAGUGUAGCUGGAGUCAGUCAGAAAUGCAUAACACCAGAAGAAGGUCGAGUGAUCCUCAACGACAUCCACUCGGGGACCUGUGGUCACCAUGCGUCCUCUCGGACCAUUGUGGCCAAAGCAUACCGAGCAGGGUUUUAUUGGCCACGAGCAAAUGAGAUGGCGAAAGAAAUAGUUGACAAAUGUGAAGGUUGCUAGUUUUACUCGAACAUGUCUCACAAGCCUGCAUCAGCCCGGAAGACCAUUCCACUCGUUUGGCCCUUUGCCGUUUGGGGAUUGGACAUGGUCGAACCUCUGAGGACUGGCAAGAGCGGCUUCACUCAUGUGCUCAUGGCAGUCGACAAGUUCACCAAAUGGAUUGAAACCAAGCCUAUCAAAAAUCUUGAAGCCAGUACUGUUGUUAGCUUCAUCAGAGAAUUAAUGUUCAGAUAUGGUGUUCCACACAGCAUCAUCACCGACAAUGGAUCUAACUUCGAUUCUGAUGAGUUUCGAGCCUUCUGUGCUUCCCAAGGCACUCGAGUCGACUAUGCUUCAGUCGCCCAUCCCCAGUCGAAUGGACAAGCAAAAAGAGAAAAUGGAUAAUUCUCGAAGGACUGAAACCCCGAUUGAUGCAUGAUCUCAAGCAUGCAGCAGGCGCCUGGGUCGAUGAACUUCCAUCAGUGCUUUGGGGAUUGAGGACAACUGCAAAUCGGUCGACUGGCCGAACUCCAUUCUUCUUGGUCUAUGGACCUGAAGUUGUUCUACCGAGUGACUUGCUUCAGAAUGCACCCCGAGUCGAGAUUUUCUCUGAAGAUGAAGCGAAGCAGGCUUGGCAAGACGCAGUUGAUCUCCUGGAAGAGGAAAGAGAGAUGGCACUGAUCCGGUCGACCAUUUAUCACCAAGAGCUGCGCCGAUUCCACGCCAGAAACGUGAGGGGUCGAGCAUUUCAAGAGGGAGACUUGGUUCUUCGAGUGGAUCAGCAGAAACCUCACAAGCUUGCUCCUGCUUAGGAAGGCCCCUUCAUUGUCACCAGAAUGCUCCACAACAGAGUGUACCAUCUUUACAAUGUCGAGCAUAAGAAAGACGAGCCACACGCUUGGAAUGCGGAGCUGCUCCGCCCCUUUUACACUUAAAAGCACUCAGACUGUUGAGAUGUAAUAAGAAAUACCCUCUAGUUUGAUUAUCAAAGACACAGUUUUACAGUCUCCUAAAUGAUUGUUGUUCCUUUUUUAUAUGUUCUAAAUCCCCCAGUGGGUGCCUUAGAUGCGAAUCCAUUUCGCCUAAGUUUAAAAACAAUCCUAUCGAGUGAAGAGCAACCCUCUCACUCGGAGGCUUAACUGCGAAUCCAUUUUGCCUAAGUUUGAAAAAUCCUACUGAGUGGUGAGCAAGCCUGUCACUCGGGGGCUUAGAUGCGAAUCCGUUUUGCCUAAGUUUAAAAAAAUCAUCUCAAAUGAAGAGCAACCCUCUCACUCGGGGGCUUAGCUGCAGUCCAGUACUCGCCUAAGUUUGAAAAAUCCUACCGAGUGGUGAGCAAGCCUCUCACUCGGGGGCUUAGCUGCAGUCCAGUACUCGCCUAAGUUUGAAAAAAUCCUACCGAGUGGUGNNNNNNNNNNNNNNNNNNNNNNNNNNNNNNNNNNNNNNNNNNNNNNNNNNNNNNNNNNNNNNNNNNNNNNNNNNNNNNNNNNNNNNNNNNNNNNNNNNNNNNNNNNNNNNNNNNNNNNNNNNNNNNNNNNNNNNNNNNNNNNNNNNNNNNNNNNNNNNNNNNNNNNNNNNNNNNNNNNNNNNNNNNNNNNNNNNNNNNNNNNNNNNNNNNNNNNNNNNNNNNNNNNNNNNNNNNNNNNNNNNNNNNNNNNNNNNNNNNNNNNNNNNNNNNNNNNNNNNNNNNNNNNNNNNNNNNNNNNNNNNNNNNNNNNNNNNNNNNNNNNNNNNNNNNNCUAAGUUUGAAAAAAACCUACCGAGUGGUGAGCAAGCCUCUCACUCGGGGGCUUAGUUGUAGUCCAGUACUCGCCUAAGUUUGAAAAAUCCUACUGAGUGGUGAGAAAGCCUCUCACUCGGGAGCUUAGCUGCAGUCCAGUACUCGCCUAAGUUUGAAAAAUCCUACCGAGUGGUGAGCAACCCUCACACUUGGGGGCUUAGUUGCAGUCUAGUACUCGCCUAAGUUUAAAAAAUCCUACCGAGUGGUGAGCAACCCUCACUAUCGGUGUCAAAACCGGCGGAUCUCGGGUAGGGGGUCCCGAACUGUGCGUCUAGGCUGGAUGGUAACAGGAGGCAGGGGACACAAUGUUUUACCCAGGUUCGGGCCCUCUUGAUGGAGGUAAAACCCUACGUCCUGCUUGAUUAAUAUUGAUGAUAUGGGUAGUACAAGAGUAGAUCUACCACAAGAUCAGAGAGGCUAAACCCUAGAAGCUAGCCUAUGGUAUGAUUGUUGUCGUAGUUGUUGUGUCCUACGGACUAAAACCCUCCGGUUUAUAUAGACCCUGGAGAGGGUUAGGGUUACACAAGGUCGGUUACAAAGGAGGAGAUCUACAUAUCCGUAUUGCCAAGCUUGCCUUCCACGCCAAGGAAAGUCCCAUCCGGACACGGGACGAAGUCUUCAAUCUUGUAUCUUCAUAGUCCAAGAGUCCGGCCAGAGGUUAUAGUCCGGCUAUCCGGACACCCCCUAAUCCAGGACUCCCUCAGUAGCCCCCGAACCAGGCUUCAACGAUGAUGAGUCCGGCACGCAGAUUGUCUUCGGCAUUGCUAGGCAGGUUCCUCUCCAAAUUCCGUGUACCUAUUUAAAUAGUGUCCGGCUUCUUGUGAAUGUCGCGCUCCUUGGCUUCCACGCCCAAUAAUGGCCACUUUCCACGUGUCGAGCGAAUGUGAAGAGCCAGGGUGAUUUUACAUUUACCCCCCUAGCUGUGUGAAUGAGCUGCCUAUUAAAAAGACGAGGAUUCAGAUCCAAAUCACACCAUCCUCCCUUGGCGAGCCUUCAUCGGAGCACAUUCGAUAGAGAUCCAUUCCAUCAUGGCCGGUCGACGCAGCUCCUCCUCUCGCUCCCCUAGCCCCAAGCCUGGAGAUUGGGAGAGAUGUUCCGUCCCACACAGCAAAUUAGUGAUGCUUCAGACCAAGGGAUUUCUUCCCCCAGCAUACAUGGUCCCGGUUCGAGCCGGGCUUGCCACCUAUAAUGGCGGAGAGCAAGCGGAGAGCCUUCCCAAUCCCUCCAAGGGAGAGCGGGUAUGCCUUGUCCCUCAUUUGGUAAGAGGGCUUGGAUUUCCAAUUCAUCCGUUUCUCCGGGGGCUCCUGGAGUUCUACGGCCUCCAGUUGCACAACCUUACGCCUGCCUCCAUAUUACAUAUCGCGGGCUUCGUAGCCCUUUGCAAGCUGUUUUUGGGCUAUGAGGCUCAUUUCGCGUUGUGGAAGGAGCUGUUCUGCCUCGUGCCCCGUUCUCAGAAGGGGUCAAUAUAUCAAGUGGGCGGAGCCGAAGUGUGGCGUAUUGCCGGGACCAGAUAUCUAUCCGGAACCCCAAAGAAGACGUCUGAAGACUGGCCUUCAGAAUGGUUUUAUAUAGAAGACGUCCCCCUCCCGGACCCUAUUCGAAUCGGCCUCCCUGAGUUCGACAACGCUCCUUUGAAGAAGCGCUGGAGCUGGCGUUCACGGAGACCCCAAGAGGAAGAUGACAGGGACGUUCUUUACCUGAUGAGCCGGAUAAGUUUGUUAGCUCGAUCCGGAUUGACCAUGAUCGAGGUCAUGGCCACAUGUAUUAUGCGGGGGGUGCAGCCACUUCAGUAUAGAGGCCACCCCAUGUGGGACUUCAACGGGGAGGAUGACGCCACCCGCUAUGGCCGUAAAGGGCCGGAAUUGGUUGCUGCUCUAAUAAAGAUCUUAUCCACUUUGUACAAGGGAGAAGAGGAGGAAUUCCUCCACGUCAACCCGCACGGCGGAUUUUCUAUGUACAAUCCUCCGAGCUGGGUAAGCGGACACUUUUUCUCGCCCAUCCGUUUCAUAUUCCCAUAGUUAAGUAUUCAGUCUAGCGAUUUCAACACAGGAGCUGCGCCAGGCUGUAAGGGAGAUAAACAGCCCUCCUCCACAACCCGAGGACCCGAAAUGGUCCCUUGACCCGGCCUCCCAAGAGGAUCCGGACAUAUUUGUGGAGCUGAUCGAUGGGGUAUUUUACCAAUUGAGCAAUGACAACGCCUUUGUGGCCAUUACGGCCGAUUACCCUGGGCUACUUCCAGCCUCACAGGUAACUGAGACCGAAGUCCUAGUACUUUGAAAAGGGAUCCGUCCUUGCGUGUUUUUGAUCACCGUAUAACAAUCGUGUUUCGCAGGGGAGGUCCUCGAGGCGGAAGGCCGAGCCUGUGGCGACUAGCCAACAAGGGGCCGCGAGGCCAGGCAGGUUGAAAAGAGACGCGGUCUGGAUUGAGACACCGGCAUAGCGGUACGGCACGCCGUCUUUAUUCCAAGACAUUAUUCUCAGAGGCAUACUAACGCCCAUGCCUUCUUUUUAGGAAAAAGAGUGCUCGCCGGACUAUAUCCGAAGAGGCUACUAAUCGCGCCUCCACCAGCCAGGAUCCAAGGCCGGAUUCGGAGGCGGGAACGAAUACGAGGCGUGCGUCGGGCGCUCCUCCGACAGAGGAUGCGGAUAGACUGUCCGCCACCAAUUCCGAGGUGGAAAGUGCCAUGAACCACAGGCGUCACUGGACUGUUCUUCGUGACGCUUGUUUCUCCCAAGAGGCAUUGGUUGCCUUCAACUCGGGAGAUGCGUACCUCUGUGCCGCUCAAAAUGGUCUAGCCAGAGCCAUGGAGCAGUAUGUAAAAGACAUACGGGUGAGAAAAUUUGGUGAUUAUAUAUAUCAGUAGCCCCUUAGACUUGAAACAGUUAGAAUAACUGAUUUAAGGAUCAUUUGUUAUGCAGGUUCUUACAGAAAAGAAUACCCAACUGUCCCAGGAGCUAGAAGAGUGCAAAGCCCAACUUCAGGCCGCACUAGCCGCAGCAGGGGAGCCCAAAGAGACCCCCUCUGGUAAUAUAUCCUACAGUAUCAUAUAAAGUGCGGCGUAUAUGCAGAUCUGACGAUAAAAUUGCAGAUGACGCUGGAGUAAAUCAGGAUAAGCAACAGCUCCAAUGUCAGCUGAAGGCUGGUGAGAGCGUGCUUACAAGGGCGAGGCAGGAGAAGAAUGAUCUCCUAGAUGCCAACACCAAGCUGGGCGUGGAACUAAAGGAUGUUCGUGCCCAACUGUCGGACUCCAUUAAGGAGAAUCGGUGGCUUCGACGCGGCAUAUUAAGUAAGUGCUUGAACGAACUUUGAAAAAGAGUUCGGCGAGGAAGUCGAUUAACAGCGUUAUGUAUGUAGGUAUGCUGACGGGUCGUCCCGCGGAGGAAAUGCCCAGGUCUGCGGGUGAUCUUCUGUCCGAGCUGUCACAUCUGCACGAACAAGUUCGACAUGUGAUGCAAGGUGUUGCCCAGGCUUUAUGGCCAUCUGUCUCCUUGCCAGAGGGCGUUGCAGAGCUUACGGAGAAGCUCAAGGGAACACGGCGGCGCCUCCGAUUAUGGAAGAUAUCGGCCUGCCGACAGGGUGCCAGAGAGGCCUAGGUCAUGGUGAAGACUCGGUAUACCAAGGCAGAUCCAAAUCACAUGGCCGAGGUCGGACCUGUGGGGCCCGACGGAAAAGAUAUCCCUGUUAGCUUAGUUUAUGGGCAAUUAGAAUUAGCCGCAAAGUAUUCCCAACAGGAUUGUAAGCUAGACCGCCUGUUGGAUGGUAUAGAAGAGGAGUUUAGUCAGUCUGCAUGACUAUGUAAUUAAAGUGACAUGUAUAAUGCCUUCUAGCCGGAUUGUAGAUCAUUUGUCGUUGCGGACUUUUUCGCUUCAACCUCCGGGCCCGAUAGUCCGGAGUGAAUCCGAAUACCCGCUCAGUUAUAUAAGAACUGGGGUAUGCGUGGAGACCAGGCGUAGGGGUCAUUAGUGCUUUAUCAGACAAGUGCCCAACUAGUUAUGUUAUAUUACAUGGGUAGUAAGAAACAUCUUCCAGGGAGAAUAGUUCCGUUAAGGGUUCCUUUCCCUGGGUAAGCAUGCCCUAAAGUGCAUGUCCGGACUGCGAUAAGAAACGCAGAAAAAGCAUCUGGGGGCAGAUAUGGAUAAUAAGUAAAAGUCCUCUUUUGUUCACCGACCGAAUAUUCCCUUAAGAACGCUAGCUUUUGGCUUCACCCAGUCUGAGGUACACAUCCGGCUGACCCGGCAGUAACAAUCGCAGAGGUGCUCCCCUUAUGCCCUAGCCGAAUUAACGGGAACGUGGGGCAUAAAUACAAGAGCCAGGCAACCCAGCUUGGCGAAACUUAAGUCAUAUCGAUGCAUAUAAUGGUGAAAAAAGGUACAUGCGAAAGUGUAACACAUGUGUUGGGCGUGAGGCCCAGGUAAAUAAUUUAAGCUUCUGUGAAAGAAGCCCCCAGGUAUGGAGAGUGCGGCUAGCGCAUCUGUAAUGUACAAGUGAGGCACAAGGUGACCCUUGAAGGCCUACAGAAAUAAUAAGAAAAAGAAAGAAAGGGAAACAAGACAGAUGAUGCAUAUGCAGAAAAUGGACAAAGGGAGGGGACUAACAUAGAGUCCGGUGCUAGGCAUAGAAUCUUCGGAGCCUCGCUGCGUUCCAUGGGUUCGGCUCGAAUCGACUAGUCAAUGCAUCCCGCAGUCGGUAUGCUCCACCGGUCAGAACUUGGUUGAUAAUGAAGGGACCUUCCCAUUUGGGCUCGAGCUUGUUCUUUUUCUUAUCCGGUAGGCGUAGAACUAGUUCGCCAACGUUAUAAGUUUUGGCCUGUACUUCUCUACUUCCGUAUAUGCGAGCCUGUUGCUGGCAAAAUGCGGAACGAGCUUUGGCUACGUCGCGAUCUUCCUACAAGGUGUCCAGACUGUCCUGCCGAUCGAGCUCGGCUUCUCUUUCUUCGUACAUGCGCACUCGAGGUGAGUCAUGAAAUAUGUCACAGGGCAAGACUGCCUCUGCGCCGUACACCAUAAAAACGGUGUAUAUCCGGUACUACGAUUCGGCGUGGUCCGCAGCCCCCAGAGUACGGAGUCGAGCUCCUCCACCCAGUGCGUGUCAGACUCCGUUAAGGAACGCACUAAUCUGGGUUUAAUGCCGCUCAUUAUAAGACCGUUUGCUCGUUCGACUUGACCAUUGGUUUGUGGGUGAUAGACUGAAGCAUAAUCGAGCUUGAUGCCCAUUUUGCUGCACCAGAGUUUUACCUCGUCGGCCGUGAAGUUCGUGCCGUUAUCAGUGAUGAUGUUGUGGGGGAUACCGUAACGGUGUACAACCCCGGAUAUGAAAUCUAUCACCGGUCCGGAUUCAGCUGUUUUAACUGUUUUAGCCUCUAUCCAUUUGGUGAAUUUAUCCACCAUGACCAAUAAGUAUUUUUUUCUUGUGGGUUCCCCCUUUAAGGGGUCCAACCAUGUCAAGCCCCCAGACCGUGAAGGGCCAUGUAAUGGGGAUUGUUUGGGGGGUGGUGGGUGGCAUGUGGCUUUGAUUUGCAAAGAGCUGGCAACCGGCGCAACGUUGGACCAAGUCCUGUGCAUCUGCCCGGGCCGUUGGCCAAUAGAAUCCUGUACGGAAGGCCUUGCUUCAAGAGCCCGGGCUGCGGCGUGAUGACCGCCGAGUCCGGCAUGAAUUUCUGCCAAAAGAUUCCGCCCUUCCUCUUCGGAGAUGCACCUUUGAAGGACUCCGGUAGUGCUCUUCUUGUAUAAUUCUCCCUCAUGGACCCUGUAGGCCUUGGAUCACCGCACUAUGCAGCGUGCCUCAUUUUGGUCCUCCGGAAGUUCCUGUCUAGUUAGGUAGGCCAGGAAUGGUUCUGUCCACGGGGCAAUAAUGGCCAUUAUUUCAUGAGCUGAAGGUGUUAUUUCGGUGGCGGAGCCUCCGAUUGUGUCAGAGAGUUCGGUAUCGGGUAUUUUGGCCGGGUCCGGACUGUUGUUACCGGUGUCCCCUUCCCAUGCUACGGAUGGCUUGAAGAGCCUUUCCAGAAAUAUGUUGGGAGGGACCGCGUCGCGUUUUGCGCCGAUGCGGGCUAGGAUAUCCGCCGCCUAAUUUUUUUCCCGAGCCACAUGGUGAAAUUCGAGUCCCUCAAACCGAGCUGGCAUUUUGAGGACGGCAUUUCGAUAGGCCGCCACUUUCAGAUCUUUGGCAUCAAAAUCUCCAUUUAUUUGGGAUAUUGCGAGGUUUGAAUCCCCACACACCUCCAGGCAUUGAAUGCCCAUGGAGACUGCCAUCCGAAGACCAUGCAACAGAGCUUCGUAUUCGGCUGCAUUGUUGGAAUCUGUAUACAAUAUUUGCAGUAUGUACCGAACGGUAUCUCCGGUUGGGGACGUCAGGACGACGCCAGCCCCUAGACCGGCCAGCAUUUUAGAACCGUCGAAGUGCAUGAUCCAAUUGGAGUAUGCGCCGUACUCUUUAGGGAGUUCGACCUCCGUCAUUCGGCGACGAAGUCGGCCAGUACUUGCGAUUUAAUGGCUCGGCGAGGUUUGUAUGUUAUGUCGAAUGGGAGGAGCUCAAUGGCCCAUUUGGCAAUCCGGCCCGUAGCGUCGCGGUUGUUGAUAAUAUCAUUAAGUGGCACUUCCGAGGCUACUAUAAACGAACACUCUUGAAAGUAGUGUCGUAGUUUCCGUGAUGCCAUGAAUACCGCAUAUGCUACUUUUUGGUACUGCGGGUACCGUGAUUUGCAUGGAGUGAGGACAGUGGAUACAUAGUAUACCGGCUUUUGAAGAGGGAAUUUGUGUCCGUCCGUUUCCCGUUCGACAACGAGCACCACGCUUACAACUUGAUGAGUUGCCGCAAUAUACAACAUCAUAGGUUCGCCGAUGUUUGGUGUGGCCAGGAUCGGGUUGGUUGCUAGAAUGGCCUUUAUUUCUUCCAAUCCGGGUGUGGCCGCGUCCGUCCACUCGAACUGUUUAGUGCGCCGAAGGAGGCGAUAAAGGGGUAAAGCCUUUUCUCCCAAGCGGGAGAUAAAGCGGCUUAGAGCCGCCGCACAUCCAGUUAGCUUCUAGAUUUGUUUGAGGUCUGUUGGGUAGCUGUCGGUGUCAAAACCGGCGGAUCUCGGGUAGGGGGUCCCGAACUGUGUGUCUAGGCCGGAUGGUAACAGGAGGCAAGGAACACGAUGUUUUACCCAGGUUCGGGCCCUCUUGAUGGAGGUAAAACCCUACGUCCUGCUUGAUUAAUAUUGAUGAUAUGGGUAGUACAAGAGUAGAUCUACCACGAGAUCAAGGAGGCUAAACCCUAAAGGCUAGCCUAUGGUAUGAUUGUUGUAUGAUGAAGUUGUCCUACGGACUAAAACCCUCCGGUUUAUAUAGACACCGGAGAGGGUUAGGGUUACACAAAGUUGGUUACAAUGGUAGGAGAUCUUGAAUAUCCGCAUCACCAAGCUUGCCUUCCACGCCAAGGGAAGUCCCAUCCGGACACGGGACGAAGUCUUCAAUCUUGUAUCUUCAUAGUCCUGGAGUCCGGCUGAAGGUAUAGUCCGUCUACCCGAACACCCCCUAAUCCAGGACUCCCUCAGUAGCCCCUGAACCAGGCUUCAAUGACGACGAGUCCGGCACAUAGAUUGUCUUCGGCAUUGCAAGGUGGGUUCGUCCUCCAAAUUCUUCAUAUAAGUUUGUAAACACCAAGAGUAGUGUCCGGCUCUGCAAAAUAAGUUUCCACGUAUUGCCAUAGAGGGAAUAAUAUUAACACAAAUCUAAUCUGCUGACGUAUUCCGCAGCGUGACAUCACAUUACGGCCAAGCCUUUAUUCGAAUCGUUUUCACUUUUCCACCUCAGCGUGUUUUGCGAGGCGGUUUCCUUGGCACGUCUUGUCAAAGCAGAGAUCGUGUCCCCCAUUUACGGGAUUCUCAUCAAUACGGACAUGGGUAACCCAACCGCGCCAUCUAUCACGGCGCUUGGGAGGCAAGCGAGUUUUACUAGGCUGGUGGGGAUGCAUAGUCGCAUCCGCUCAUAUAAGGGGAUAAGGAUCCACCUUUUUACCUACGCCUUCUUCCUCCUUUGCCUAUCCAUCUUCUGCGCACCCGAGCUCCAGCGCCCAAGCCUGCACUUCCUACCUCAACCUUCUCCAACAAUGUCCGGAGCGGGAGGCAAGUGGAUGGUCUCCUCCGUCACGGAGGGCCAUGUCAAAAGGCUAAGGAAGGCCGGAUACCUGUCCAAAGACAUCGCGCACCAGCUUCCUGAGGAGGGGCAGCUUCUCCCCAUCCCAAGGCCCCAUGAGAGGGUAGUAUUUCUUCCCCACUUCCUCCGCGGACUGGGUUUUCCUCUCCACCCAUUUGUCCGCGGGUUCAUGUUCUACUACGGCCUAGAUUUCCAUGAUCUGGCCCCAAACUUCAUCCUCAAUAUCUCGGCAUUUAUCAUCGUGUGCGAGGCUUUCCUCUACAUCCGCCCCCAUUUCGGCCUCUGGCUCAAGACCUUCAACGUCAAGCCAAAGGUGGUGCGCGGCAACCAGGUGGAGUGCGGAGGUGCCAUGGCGGGAAAAAUAGCCAAUGUCCUAUGGCUCCAGGGCUCCUUUGUGGAGACCUUGAAGGGGUGGCAGUCAGGGUGGUUUUACAUCACCGAGCCACGCGAUCCGAAGUGGAUCGCAGCCCCUGAAUUCCGAUCCGGACCCCCUACGCGGCUCACGUCCUAGAAGGAGACGGGCUUGUCGUCGGGCGACGAAGAAGAGGUGACCGGACUGCAAAAAUGCAUCCAGUCCCUGGUGAACAAGCAGCUCAAGCUUGUCAACAUAGUCCAGGUCAUGCUCGUCCGCCGGAUCCUUCCGUGUCAAGAACGGGACUUCAAUUUGUGGGAGUUCAACCCGGCGCAGCACCGAACUCUGAGCAGGCUCUUCGACACGAUGUAUGAAGAUGUCUGGAAGGGGCUAACCAAAGGCGCCGAGGCUCCCACAUCCGCCUCUGAAGACCGCGGAUUCAGCUCGCAGCGUCUUGCUGGCGAGGUAAAAUAUUUUCAUCUUUUACAGGAUGUUAAGUUUUCUUCAUAGUUUGACUCUAUGCGGGAUCUAAACUCCCUCACCUUUGACAGGAUUGGCAGGCGAAGUCCGGAAUGAUUAACUGUCCGGCUCCCUUGCCCGAAGACCCAGCCCCUGCUCUCCUAGUGAAGCUGCUGGUUCCGGCACCUUAUGUGGUGCCAGAGAAGAAGGCCAAGAAGAAGAAGGCCACGGGGACUCAAAAGAGUUCCCGGCAUAUGGUGGUGUCGGACUCGUCGCCCGAUGAGUCCGAGAUGCACUCCUCCCGUGAAGAUGAGGAGGAGGAAGAAGAAACCUAGUGGGGGAUGAAAGAAGAGGAAGGCCACCCCAGUAGGGGAGGCCGAGGGGUCCAAGAAGAGGAAAACCCCUCUGCCGGACUACGCCCCCGACGCCGACGAGGACGAAGAGGAGUGGCCGGACAGGGCCAAGCAUCCGGCAAAAUUAUAAGUGUUCGGAUACCAGAGUAACUCGUGAUAUUCCUUUUGUUGCAUAGCUUUCCCUAAUGUCGAAUAUAAUCAUGCAGCCCGCCCAAGGACGGGCUCGACGAGUCGUCGAGCGGCUCCCUGGAUUCAUCGGACGUGAAUUCAGUUCCACCUGCUGCCUCCCCCUGUGCUGCGGAUGACGCCGAAGUGGCGUCGCGACAAGCUCCGGGGCAAGAGGAGGUGGUCCAGGAGGAGCCGCAAGGCAACCUCCCGGACUCCAGGAGUAAAGGGGACAAGACCCCCCAGGGCUCCAAGUCCGGCUUUAAGCUGGACACCGCGCCAGAAUCAUCAACGGUUCCGGACCGCGGCAGGCGAACUCCUGCCAAGAGGAGCAAGCCUAUUGAGCCGGCGUCCUCCGUCCAACCGGAGGCGCCGGACAAUCUGCUGGAGGUGCUUAAGGGCGCCUCCAUCGACGAGGAGCACCGUACCAUCAUGAGUACGGUGAUCCAGAAGGUUCGGUCCGCCAAAAGCGGACUUACUGAAGCUUGUGCUAGCCUUCUAACAGGCUUCGAGGUAAGUAAAAAUAUGUAAAAAUAUUACCGCAUAGACAGUAGCCCCUGAUGCUCUGUUUGGCGUUCGGAAAGAAAAGCCGAAUAGAGGAUCUAUUAAAUAUCGCAGGAGUCUAACUAGAAAGAGUCAAUAUAUGUAUGCAGGCUUCGCUGCUGGCCACCGCCGCACUAACUGCGGAGGUGGGUGCCCUGAAGCAGGGCCUCGAGCGGACCGAGCAAGAGAUCGGCCUUGCCAAACGGCAGCUCGAGGAGAAAGAAGGUAAGAGAUACCUUAUAGAAAAAAUGCCUAUAAGAGGACGCAAUUGCAAAAAAUGACAGGACUAUACUGCUUAUUGUAGGGGCCACAACUGAGGUGGCGACCCUUAAGCAGGCACUGUUCGAGGCCAAGAAGAGAGCGGCCACGGAGCGCACCGAGCGGGAGAAAUUUGAGGCGCAGGUCGGUGAGGUGCAGCAAGAGCUUCAGGCUCUCAUGAAAAAACAUGAGAGUUUGGAGCUCGACUCGAAGACGCGAGCGUCCGAGCUUGCUGCGGCCCUUAAAACUGCCGAAUCUGCCAAGGCCGAAACCUAGAAGGCCCUCCAAGAAUUGGAUGCGGUGAAGAAGAUAGCGGCGGGUAAGGCAUUCUCUAUGCAAAGCAGACAUAUAAAAGUAAACUACUUGUUACUUACCCGAAUCUGGAGCUCUCCAGGGGCAUUCACAGAUCUUCCCCGCAGCGUAUCCGAUGCCGCCGCAUUCUACUGAGCCGAGGAAGGCAGCUCGAUGGAGAAGGUAUUCUGGUCUCAGUACGCUGAGGCCGGACACCCUGUGCCCUUGAGCGACCAGCUGAAGCAGCUGGUCGAGCUCCACAAGGCGGCCGAACAGGCCCUGAAGGGCUUCAUAGUUCGGCUGUGGCCUGGAGAGGCCCUGCCUGGGAGCUACUUUGGACUGGUGCGGCGGCUGGUGGAGGCUUUUCUAAGGCUCGAGGUCAUCAAGCGCUCCGUCUGCAUCGAAGGUGCCCGUAGGGACCUUGCCCGUGCAAAGGUGCACUAGGGUAAGCUGGACGGCGAGAAGCUUGUGAGGGACGAGCCGUCGCCGGGGAAGGAGCAUCGCAAGCCCGAGAACUAUUACAAGGAUGUUCUGGCUGGUGCCCGCCUUAUGGCGGAUGAAUGUACCAUGGAUGUAAUUUUUGAAUGAACUCGCUCGUGUUAUCCUGUGCGCUGAAAACUUGUUCAUAUGCGCUAAGCAAUGCUUGAAUUUAAAAUAUUACUUUCUGUGCGGCCGUUUAUCAAAAAAUUGAGAGAUGGCCAGUCGUCGGCUUCUGCCCCCAUGCCACUAGUGUUGGGGUGUUUGGGAUAAACCUGAGCGCUCUUUUUCCCAUGAUUGGGUCCGUCGAGGGAGGCGCUCGGCACAACGAACAAGGCAAUCGGACUAUAAUGCUUGAACACUCUCACUUAGCCAUAGAACUCUAUAAUUUUAAAUUUCGGCGAAGCCCCUAGUAUUCGGAAGACCGAGUUCGGGGCGCUAUCCACGCCUUGGCCGGACAAAGCCGGUUCCUCGCUCGAAGCGGCAUAAGUCUUUAAGGACUCGAAAAACCUCUCGAACAGCGACCGGUCUCUUGCCUCAUCAUGACAGUCAGUUUUAGCUUUCUCUACUGAGGUGCUUCACAAUCGCAGUAGUUCUCCUAGUGCUACCUUAGCCGAUAUAGCGGAACGUAAGGCACCAAAACAUAGGAGCCGGGCAAACCCAACUAUUGACCCAAAUCAUGAUUCGGAGCCGAUGCAUAUAGUGCUAUAAGUUCGGGGUGCCGCACUUGUGAAAGUGCACGGACUUCUCACGCCAUAUUGAUGGGUACUGAAGCCACUGGCGUAUUUUGCCGUACAACAGUGUACGGAUGCAGCAUGUUAUUAAUAAACAUAUAUAUAAAAAUGGGAUAAUGCAAAAAUAGACAAAAAGCUAUACCUUGUUUAUAGAAAGGCUGCUAUGAAAGCGGAACGAUACAAAUAGUGCGAUAAGCAAAAGAAAUUGGACUAUUUAACAUGUCCUGGCCAGGGGCAGGCCGCGGAAUUGUAUUAAAAAACAGGUAUACUGCUCGCAAUAGAGACCACCUGGGAGUUCCAUAAUGCGGCGUGGCUUGUCUGCUUUCCUGGAUCUUGCAUCGUUUGUGCGGCAGUUGAAUUGCCGAACGGGUCAUCCGAAGUAUGGAGUCCUGAGAGUAAGAGAAAAAAAGAAAAAAAAGGAAUCUGGCAGCCCCUGGUGCGGUUUAAGCCGUAUUUCGGGCGUGCCGUGAUAGUGCCCCUUCCCCUGUGCCCAUGGUAUUUCAAGAGCGUAGUUAUGUACGCGAAGCACUGGUUUCGCUAUACCGCGAGGGCUAGGGUUGGGGCCGCAUUGCUACGCUAGCUCAGAACGUGCCAGGCGGUCUUGUUGUAGGGUACUCCGUGCGCGCUUGGCAGUGUCCGGCUUUUUGAAGGCCGAACUAGAGAACUGCCUAGAGAGGCUGCUUUGUACUUCUGCUGCGAGCGCUGCCGUGUGCUCCUCCGUUCGGAGGGAGCGUUCGAUGUUCCCAUUAACCGUGAUUACUCCUCUAGGGCCUGGCAUCUUGAGCUUGAGGUAUGCAUAGUGCGGUACCGCGUUGAAUUUUGCGAAUGCGGUUCGCCCGAGCAGUGCGUGAUAGCCACUACGGAACGGGACUAUGUCGAAGAUUAACUCCUCGCUUCGGAAGUUAUCCCGAGAUCCGAAGACCACUUCCAGUGUGACUGAGCCUGUACAGUUGGCUUCUACACCUGGUAUGACGCCUUUAAAGGUCGUUUUGGUGGGCUUGAUCCUUGAGGGAUCUAUGCCCAUUUUUCGCACUGUAUCCUGGUAAAGCAGGUUUAGGCUGCUGCCGCCGUCCAUGGGGACUCUUGUGAGAUGAAAUCCGUCAAUGAUUGGGUCUAGAACCAAUGCGGCGAAGCCGCCGUGGCGGAUGCUAGUGGGGUGGUCCCUUCGAUCAAAGGUGAUCGGGCAGGAGGACCAUGGGUUGAACUUUGGGGCGACUGGCUCUAUCGCAUAUACUUCCCAUAACGCAUGCUUUCGCUCCCUCUUGGGGAUGUGGGUUGCGUAUAUCAUGUUCACCGUCCGCACUUGCGAGGGAAAUCCCUUCUGUCCACUGUUAUUCGGCGGCCUGGGCUCCUCCUCAUCGUCGCAAUGCAGCCCCUUGUCUUUGUUUUCUGCUCUUAACUUGCCUGCCUGCUUGAACACCCAACAGUCCCUGUUGGUGUGAUUGGCUGGCUUUUCGGGGGUGCCAUGUAUCUGGCACAAGCGGUCGAGUAUUCGGUCCAAACUGGACGGGACCUGAGUAUUUCUUUUGAAUGGAUUUUUCCGUUGACCGGAUUUGUAGCCUCGGAAUCCGGCAUUAACUGCCAUAUCCUCGUUGUUGUCGCUGUUAAUGUGGCGCUUUUGUUUGUUCCGACGUGACCUGUCGCUUUUGUCCUUGGUAUUCGAAUUACCAGGGUUCUCGGUUAAAUUGUUGCUGCGAGCUAGCCAGCUGUCUUCUCCCGCGCAAAAGCGGGUCAUGAGUGUCGUGAGGGCUGCCAUAGAUUUUGGCUUUUCCUGUCCCAGGUGCCGGGCAAGCCACUCAUCACGGAUAUUAUGCUUGAAGGCCGCUAAGGCCUCUGCGUAUGGACAGUCGACUAUCUGGUUUUUCUUUGUUAGGAACCGUGUCCAGAAUUUCCUGGCCGAUUCCUCUGGCUGCUGAAUUAUGUGGCUUAGGUCAUCGGCGUCCGGUGGCCGCACAUAAGUGCCUGGAAGUUGUCAAGGAAUGCGGCUUCCAGGUCCUCCCAAGAACCGAUUGAGUCUGUUGGCAAGCUGUUAAGCCAAUGCCGGGCCGGUCCCUUAAGUUUGAGUGGGAGGUAUUUGAUGGCGUGUAGAUCAUCACCGCAGGCCAUGUGGAUAUGAAGGAGAUAAUCCUCGAUCCAUACUGCAGGAUCUGUUGUGCCAUCGUAUGAUUCGAUGUUUACGGGUUUGAAGCCCUCAGGGAUUUUAUGAUCCAUUACUUCAUCUAUGAAGCAUAGUGGGUGUGCGGUGCCUCUGUAUUGGGCUAUAUCACGACGCAGCUUGAAGGAGCUUUGUCGGUUGAGUUCGGGCCGGCCGGAUUCAUUACGUCCGGAGUGACGAUCACCGUCACGUGUCGUGGGGUGCCUGCGCAAUCCGUAGAUCGAUCUUGUUUGCCUUGCCUUGUCCUCUAGUAUGUCGCGCAGGUCGGGUGCAUUUUCCCGUGCCUUAGUAUGCUUGACACCGGGGCAUGGCUUGAGUGGAGGGCCGAGAGGCCUCUCUGUCGCGGCCACGAGGUGGCCGGUCGGCCAUGUCAUGCGUUGGUGAUGUAGGUGCUUCCUCCUCUAGUCGGGGUAGCAGCCUGCGCUUUGGGUAACUCUUGGAGGGGCGUUCGAGUUCAUACUCUUCGGCUGCAAGGACUUCAGUCCAUCUGUCAGCUAGCAAAUGCUGAUCAGCUCUAAGUUGUUGCUGCCUUUUCUUGAGGCUGCUUGCCGUGGCCAUAAGCCUGCGUUUAAAACGCUCUUGUUCGGCGAGAUCCUCUGACACGACGAACUCGUCGUCAUCGAGGCUUGCCUCAUCUUCGGAGGGAGGCGUAUAAUUAUCGUCCUCAACCUCUUGGUCCGCCGCCCUCUCGUGCGGGCUGGCUUCUCUGUCCUCCUAUGCUAAGUCUUGCUGGAGGGGGUGUUCUUCGGCGCUAUCCGGAGUAGUAUUAUCUCCCGUGCCGGAAUCACCGUUUUUGCUUUGGCAGGAUUUAGAGCGGCGCCGCUCACGCUGGCGCUUGGGCUGUUUCUUAGAGGUAUCGUCCCCCGCUGUUCCAUCGCCAUCUCCAUCCUUUGGAGUGUCCACCAUAUAUAUGUCAUAUGACGAGGUGGCCUUCCAGCGCCCUACAGGUGCUGGUUCUUGUUCGUUUCCUGCAUCGUCGUCCAUGCCGUCGAUGUCUUCGGAGUCGAAGUCAAGCAUGUCGGUUAAGUCGUCGACAGUGGCUACGAAAUGGGUGGUGGGUGGGUUUUGAAUUUCUUCGUCGUCCGUAUCCCAACCUUGCUGACCAUAGUCCGGCCAGGGCUCUUCUGAUAAAGAGAGAGAGACUUUAGAGAAUUCAGGAUGUCGCCGAAGGGCGAGUGCUGAAAGAUGUCCGCGGCGGUGAACUCCAUUAUCGGCGCCCAAUCGAAUUCGAUCGGCAGGGGCGCGGGGGGCUCGGAGUUUGGAGAGGAAUCCGGCUCCUCGGAGUCACGGGCCAUGCGGAGUACGGGGCUGGAGUUCGGCUCGAUCGCCUCUGAGAUCGCAGCCCCUGAGGCAGCGUCCAACCGCUGAUCCUCGAUCGACGCAGUAGGCUCCGAAUCAGUGGUCGAAACCGAUGCGUGUUCGGUGGCAGAGCUAUAUCAUGCCCAUCGAGACAGUGCGGCGCGCUUGGCUGUCGCUCGAAUCCGUCGAAGAUCAAGUCCCCGCGGAUGUCAGCCGUGUAGUUUAGGCUUCCAAACCUGACCUGAUGGCCAGGGGCGUAGCUUUCGAUCUGCUCAAGGUGGCCAAGUGAAUUGGCCCGCAGUGCGAAGCCGCCGAAGACGAAGAUCUGUCUGGGGAGGAAGGUCUCACCCUGGACUGUAUCGCUAUUGAUGAUCGUAGGAGCCAUCAAGCCUGACGGCGACGACACAGAGGAACUCUCAAUGAAAGCACCAAUGUCGGUGUCAAAACCGGCGGAUCUCGGGUAGGGGGUCCCGAACUGUGUGUCUAGGCCGGAUGGUAACAGGAGGCAAGGAACACGAUGUUUUACCCAGGUUCGGGCCCUCUUGAUGGAGGUAAAACCCUACAUCCUGCUUGAUUAAUAUUGAUGAUAUGGGUAGUACAAGAGUAGAUCUACCACGAGAUCAAGGAGGCUAAACCCUAAAAGCUAGCCUAUGGUAUGAUUGUUGUAUGAUGAAGUUGUCCUACGGACUAAAACCCUUCGGUUUAUAUAGACACCGGAGAGGGUUAGGGUUACACAAAGUCGGUUACAAUGGUAGGAGAUCUUGAAUAUCCGCAUCGCCAAGCUUGCCUUCCACGCCAAGGAAAGUCCCAUCCGGACACAGGACGAAGUCUUCAAUCUUGUAUCUUCAUAGUCCUGGAGUCCGGCUGAAGGUAUAGUCCGGCUACCCGAACACCCCCUAAUCCAGGACUCCCUCAGUAGCCAACUGUGACAACACUCAGAUUUUGGCCGGACUAGCUUCAAUACCUCUACUGGAGACAAUGAAUCCCAGGAGCUUUCCGGCUGGUACGCCAAAAACGCAUUUUUCCGGAUUGAGCUUGAUGUCAUAUGUUCGGAGGUUGUUGAAUGUGAUCCUCAAGUCGUCUAUCAAAGAGUCGACGUGUUUGGUUUUGACAACCACAUCGUCUACGUAUGCCUCUACUGUUUUGCCGAUUUGUUUCUCUAGACAUGUCUGAAUCAUGCGCUGAUAUGUUGCGCCAGCGUUUUUGAGCCCAAAAGGCAUUGUGUUAAAACAGAAGGGGCCGUAUGGCGUGAUGAAUGCCGUUGCGGCUUGGUCGGACUCCGCCAUCUUGAUUUGGUGGUAACCGUAGUAUGCUUCAAGGAAACACAAUCACUCGUGUCCUGCGGUAGCAUCAAUGAUUUGAUCGAUGCGUGGGAGGGGGAAGGGAUCCUUUGGGCAAGCUUUAUUAAGGUCUUUGAAGUCGACACAAAGGCGCUAGUAUUUUUCCUUCUUUUGUACCAUCACCAGGUUUGCUAGCCACUCCGGGUGUUUUAUUUCUUUGAUGAAUCCGGCCUCCAAUAACUUGGCUAGUUCCUCUCCCAUGGCCUGUCUCUUAGGUUCAGAGAAACGCCGAAGAGCUUGCUUGACCGGCUUGAAUCCCUUUAGGAUAUUGAGGCUAUGCUCGGCCAGCCUACGUGGGAUUCCUGGCAUGUCUGAGGGAUGCCAGGCGAAUAUGUCCCAGUUCUCGCACAGGAACUCCCAUAGUGCGGCGUCCACAGCGGGGCUUAGCUAUGCCCCGAUGGAGGCUGUUUUUGUAGGGUCCGUUGGGUGGACUUGGAAUUUGACUAUUUCAUCCGCUGGUUUAAAAGAGGUGGACUUGGAUCUCUUGUCUAGUAUCACGUCGUCCCUGUCCACUGUGGAGCGUAGCGUAGUUAAUUCCUCGGCCGAGAGGGCUUCAGAUAAUGCCUCGAGGGCCAAUGCGACUGUUUUGUUUUUGGCACGGAGUGCUGUGUCUGGAUCGCUGGCGAGAGUGAUGAUUUUGUUGGGCCCGGGCAUUUUGAGCUUCUUGUACGCGUAAUGUGGUACGGCUUGGAAGAUUGUGAAUGCCUCCCGUCCUAAAAGAGCGUGAUAACCACUGCUGAACGGGGCCACUGUGAAUGUAAUUUCUUUGGACCUGUAAUUAUCCGGCGUGCCGAAUACCACAUCUAGUGUGAUUUUCCCAGCACUGUGUGCUUCCCGACUCGGGAUGAUUCCUCUAAAGGUUGUGCUACUUUGCCCAAUGCGGCUCCAGUCUAUUUCCAUCUUUUGAAGAGUUUCCUCAUAGAUAAGGUUUAAUCCGCUGCCGCCGUCCAUGAGUACCUUGGUGAGUCGAAAGCCGUCCACGAUUGGACUGAGGACCAGUGCGGCUGGUGCUCGGGCUGUUCGGAAUUUAGGUUCGUCACUGGCAUUGAAGGUAAUAGCCGUGUCACUCCAAGGAUUUAUUGCUGCUAUGUGGCAGAUUUCGGCCAUGCUGUGGAGUGUUCGCUUGCAUCUAUUAUUUGACGCGAAGGUCUCAAAGACCGUUAACACCGUAUUGUUGUCCAUGGGAUGGUGCUCUGUGGUAUUUGGGAGGAGUAGAUCAUCACCACUUUUGGCCACCUGCCGGAGUAUCCAACAUGCUCUAAGGCUGUGCAUCGGUGUUGCAUCCAUUGUACUGUGAAUUUUGCAGGGUCCGUUGAGCCAUCCCUCCAGUACGGUUCCUUGCCCCGUAGAGGGCUUUUGCUUUUUGGUAGUUAACCCGAGUGUAUUGUGAUAAUGCACCCUUUUAUUUCGGACUGGGUUUGUGUUCAGGGCCGGAUUAUCCCAAAAGUCUGUUUCGGUUUUCCAGGCACUUUCCAUCGCACAGUACUUUCAUACUAUGGACGCCAAGUCAGUGAAGCGUGUUAUCUCACGGCUAUUUAUGGCGUUAAGGAUUCCCUUGUUCGUGCAAUUAUUGCGGAAAAAUAAGAUUGCGUCUUCCUCGCGACAGUCCUUAACCUUGUUCAUCGCAAGGAGGAAUCUGGCCCAGUAGUGAUGUACUGUUUCCUGGGGCUCUUGCCUGAUGUGGGAAAGACCACUUAUGUUUGGGUGGGUGGGUGGAAUUGAAUCCGAACCCUCACCUGAUCUGGGAUCCAGGGGGCGAGGAAUUUCCAAUUUUGAAAGUUCCGAUUCCGGGGUGUAACCCGAUAACCCUGGCCCGCUGCCUGACUCUAAGUUCAGGGAUUGGGUGUUGUCCUCCUGUGAACGGGCGUCCAGCUCAGAGAGCUCGGGAAUCCGGACAUAGUUGGUCCUCAAGAUGGAGGAAAGGUCGCUGGAUUGUUCCUCCACCACUGCAAUAUGAUGGGUGACCGGCGAAGAUUUAAUCUCCCUUUGAUCGGGUUUAAGCCCAAUCCGAUCAUAGUCCAUAGCGACUCCCAGGGCAGCGAUGCGAUCUAAGAGCUCGUUUAAGGAGGCGAGCUCUAUUGGAUCCAUCUGUUCGGCGAGUGCCGAUUUGACGUGGAGGCUGUUUUGGAUGACCCGAGAAGUCAUCAUCAGCGUGGCGGCCGAACAGGCGGUCAUGAUGAAACCUCCUAGCCGGAGAGGUUGGCCGAUAGCCAAAGCUCCCUCGGCAGUAGUACUGUCUUUAAAGACGAGACGAGACAUCCUUCCUUCUGGCGACGGCAUAGAGGAACUCUCAAUGAAAGCACCAAUGUCGGUGUCAAAACCGGCGGAUCUCGGGUAGAGGGUCCCGAACUGUGCGUCUAGGCUGGAUGGUAACAGGAGGCAGGGGACACAAUGUUUUACCUAGGUUCAAGCCCUCUUGAUGGAGAUAAAACCCUACGUCCUGCUUGAUUAAUAUUGAUGAUAUGGGUAGUACAAGAGUAGAUCUACCACGAGAUCAGAGAGGCUAAACCCUAGAAGCUAGCCUAUGGUAUGAUUGUUGUCGUAGUUGUUGUGUCCUACGAACUAAAACCCUCCGGUUUAUAUCGACACCGAAGAGGGUUAGGGUUACACAAGGUCGGUUACAAAGGAGGAGAUCUACAUAUCCAUAUUGCCAAGCUGCCUUCCACGCCAAGGAAAGUCCCAUCUGGACACGGGACGAAGUCUUCAAUCUUGUAUCUUCAUAGUCCAAGAGUCCGGCCAGAGGUUAUAGUCCGGCUAUCCGGACACCCCCUAAUCCAGGACUCCCUCACUCACACUCGGGGGCUUAGCUGCAGUCCAGUACUCGCCUAAGUUUUAAAAAAAUCCUAUCGAGUGGUGAGCGACCCUCACACUCGGGGGCUUAGCUGCAGUCCAGUACUCGCCUAAGUUUGAAAAAUCCUACCGAGUGGUGAACAACACUCACACUUGGGGGCUUAGCUGUGGUCCAGUACUCGCCUAAGUUUGAAAAUCCAAUCGAGUGGUGAGCAAUCCUCUCACUCGGAGGCUUAGCUGUAGUCCAUCACUCGCCUAAGUUUGAAACACAUCCCUAUCCGCAAGGACGACGAGGUGCAGGUCGACUGCAACCUUCUCUUCGGAGCUGCGCCACAAAUACAACAUGCGCUCCAUCCUGAUCUGCAAGGACGACGAGGUGCAGGUCGACUACGACCCUCUCCUCAGAGCUGUGCCACAAGUACAACGUGCGCUCCAUCCUGAUCUGCAAGGACGACGAGGUGCAGGUCGACUGCGAUCUUCUCCUCAGAGCUGCGCCACAAGUACAACAUGUGCUCCAUCCUGAUCCGCAAGGACGAUGAGGUGCAGGUCGAUUGUGACCUUCCCCUCAGAGCUGCAGCACAAGUUCAAAGACUACUCCGAGUGAAGAACAAGUUCCACUCAAAGGCAAACACAAGCAUAUUCAGAGAUAAACCAAGUUCAGAUAAAUCCUAAGGUUCCAGACCAUGAAUUAAAGUACUCGGACAUCAAGCCUUAAGGAGUUUAACGAUUACACGAUCACUCGGCAUUCCGAGGCAAAUAAAGGUGAAGCAUAAUGUUUUUUGAUCACUCGUCAGGGGAAGGACUGGCUGGAUCGCAGAAACUAUCAAGGUCUAUGUUGUCUGCGAUGUGAGUGGCGGCAUCAAGGAAAGUAUCCAUGAAGGACUGGAAGGUGUGCAUUUUGAUGUUGAGAACCUUGAGCCCCGCCAGCUUGUAUUCUUUGACAUCCUUGCAGUGCACUCGGACCAGUGACAGGGCGACAUCAGCGUUGCAGUGAGCAGAUGACUUCUUCCAUUCUUGCACUCGGUCAGGAAUUUGAUUCAGUCGAGCCAUCAGAGACUCGAGGUCUUGAGACAGUUCCGCCUGAGGCCAGAGUUCAGCAUCAACCCGAGUCAUUGCCGCCUUCAGACGGGCAAGAUAAGCAACUGCGUUGUCCAUGUGGGAUUCCAACCGCAGCACAUUCAUCGCGAUGUCAUAUUGACUUGACAGUUUAUGGGAUCGAGAUCCGUCUUGACCCGCCCAGUUUCUGCUUCAAAGUCCUGACAAAGUUCUGCGCGGUUGAGUAAAUAGUGAGUCGACAAUAUAGUAAGAUAUAUCAAUCAACAACAACAAGUCAGUCGAAUAGCAAUACCUUCAAGCUUUAAGACCAGUUUUACAGCAAGCUGGCCCAGAUAAGAUUCUAACUCACCCUUCUUAGCCUUGAGGUUUCCAAUCUCGCCAGUCAGCUUGUCCUUGUCUUUCUUUAGUUGCUCGACCUCCCGAUUGGCAUCAGCGACAACAGUCUUCAGUUUGGAGUUCUCUUCUUCUAACUUGCCGACUGAAGCAAGCUUCUUGUCAGCAAGUGUCGUUUUCUCUCGUGCCUCCUUCUGGGCAGCAGCAAGAUCCAGAUCCUUCUUCUCCAGAGCCUGCUUCAUUUUCUCUAAAGAAACAACAUUCUUCAGACGAGCUUGGAGUUGACAGUUUUCACUACACACAUCUAUUCGAGUGAAGUCACCCGGUUCAAAGUAACUAAAAAACACACGGAAAAGUGCCAGUCGUAAGACGGACAAUUGACGAUUGCUUACCUCCCAUGGCAGCUACUUCGUCACGAGCAGUCUUGCGGUUCUUCUUGGACAGUUCCAGAUCAAGGUUGAGGCUGAUUUGCUACUUGUUUAGUGUAGAAAGUUGAGCCCGAAGAUCAUAAGAUUUCUGCAGUCAACGUAUAAGACAUAUCAGUCGACAGAAACAAAAGAACAUCACAGUGAAAGUUACUCUAAGACUACCACUGAAUCAAACAUUCAACGGUAGUCUUGGGGACUACACCCACUGGGUGCACUUAGCGUGCCCCCACUGGUUUGAUUCAACUCUCGGCAUGGUCUGCCCAGCUCGAGUUGUAAAAAAAGCGAAGAAAGUUGUUCUCAGACCAUAGUCGACUACCCAGAGUCGACCACAAUCUCGGGGACUACACCUAGUGUGUGCACUUAGCGUGCCCCCACUGGUUCAGGUUUCACUCGGCAAGGUCCGCCCAGGCCGAGUGAGAAAAUUUCGAUUCUCAAACCACAGCCGACUGCCCGCAGUCAAUUAUGGUCUCAGGGACUACACACAGUGGGUGCACUCAGCGUGCCCCCACUAGUUCAAAAACUCAAUCGACUCAAUCCAAGUCGACUCAAGUAGAAGACCUAUACAACUUUAAGGCAGACAAACCCUAGUGGGUGAUCGGAUGAGAAAUAAGAUCAGUCGGAAAUCAACUAACCUGGACAUUGGUUUGCAGAGCAGCGCCAGCGUUGUAGGCCACCUAACUGGCCUCAUGCACCACUUUCAUCUGCCCUACCACAAGAUUCAACCAAAGAAGAGCUUCCUGGCGGCACUCGGUAGGUCGUCUGGAGUUUGGUACACAAUGAAAAGCGAUGAUGGCAGGGCAGUCGAAGCAGCCGCUGGGUCUGACACUGGAGUUGUAUUGGAGCAGCAGGGGUCUGAACAGCCAACCCUGAUGGGCAACCAGUCAACAGCGGGAUAGCAAAAGUGAUGUUGGUGCGAGCCGGAUCUGUAGAUCGCUCGACCUCUAUCCCAGGCACCAGUGUCGGCUGAGGAACCUGAACCUCAGGUGCUUUCCCGCUCGAUCCCUUGUUCCUCCUCCUCCUUUCCCUUAGAGGCACUUCUUCUUCAUCAUCUGGAAGCACGACAACGUCUCAUGGAGCUGCAACAAACAGAAAACAUCAGAGAUUCAACCGACGAACAAUCCAAUCGACAGAAUAAAUCCGAGUCGAGUGGACUUACUAGCUUUGGAGGUAGCCGCGUCAUCGGUUUCCUCGUCGUCUGGGGCCUUGUCGAUAUCCAUAUCAGUCACGGUAGAGGCUGGGCUGGAAAAGUUCACCAUCCACUUGGUCAGAACAGAAGAAUCAAUCCAAUCAAGAAAACACGGAAAGAACAUUUACCCAGAGGCAACAAGGACAUCCAUCUUAAUAUUAGGCAAGGUCUUCCGAGCCUUUGAGGGGUUGAAAUUGGGCUGCUUGGUGACUUUCUCCGCCAGCUCCGGAGUUGAAGACCGAGUGCACUUCUGUGCUUGAGCGCUCGAGGCCACAGUCUUGCCACGCCUGCGCGCCGGAUCAUGGUGCUGCUUGGAUCAAUGUUUUGAACGAGGAGGUGAGUCGACUACCUCUUCAUCGUCUAAUUCAUCACUCCCGUCUUCAUCAUCAUCAUCCGGCGAUUCCCAAUCACUACUCUCUUCCGCAUUGUCCUCGCCCUCAUGAUCCUAUUCCAGAGAUUGUUCACCAUUGGGCAUCGAGUACAUCUCUGUAUAAAUCUAAAAGACAAGAAGUCGAGCGGAAAUCAGUCAGAUUCAAAAACAAUCAGAAAAAGUACCAAGUGUAAUCGGUUGUAGCGGUUGAACCUUGUCUGGCUGAUUACUGUUGCUGAAAGGAUCGACUCUCUUGGCGCCCCUGGGGUUGUCCUUGUUUCCCGUAAUACUCCUCAACCAUUGGGCCACUGUUUUGGCCGGCACCUCCUCUGGAUGAACCCGAGCGGUGUCGCCGGCUCUGGAAUACAUCCACAUAGAGUGGUCAUGAGCCUAGAGCGGUUGGAUGCGCCGACUAAGGAAUACCUCCAACAAAUCCAUGCCGGUGACGCCGUGGUUGGUCAGCUGGACCACCCUAUUGACCAGCAUUGCUAUGUCCGCCUUCUCUGCGGCGGUCACUUUCAACGGGGAGGGAGUCUAAACACGAUCGAAGGAGAAAGCGGGAAGUCCAGUCGACUGGCCUGGGGUCACGAUGUCGUGGCAGUAGAACCAGGUCGACUGCCAGCCUGUGACCGACUCAGGAAGAGCCAUCGAAGGGAAAGAGCUUCUCUUCCUCUUCUGGAUACCCAGACCCCCACACAUCUGGAUAAUGUGGGUUUUCUCGUCCGUCGAAUUUGCUUUCUUCACCAUUUGGGAGCGGAUGGUGAAAAUGUGCUUGAAAAGACCCCAGUGCGGUCGACACCCCAAGAAAUUCUCGCACAUGGACACGAAUGCGGCAAGAUAUGUGAUGGUGUUGGGAGAAAAAUGAUGGAGUUGGGCCCCGAAGAAAUUCAAGAAACCCCGGAAAAAAGGGUGCGGAGGAAGCGAGAAACCGCGGUCGACAUGGGGGGCGAGCAGAACACACUCACCCGGUCGUGGCUGCGGCUCCGUCUCCCCUUCCGGCAACCGCACAGCUUUAUGGACGAUCAGCCCGGACUCAGCCAGCUCAUCUAAAUCUUCCUGCCGAAUCGAGGAUCGGAUCCAAUCACCCUGGAUCCAACCCGACGGCAACCCCGACUGCGAUGGCGACCCUUGAUUCGUCUUCUUGCCUUUUGCCUCCCCCGUUGCCUUCACGUGUUCCAGUGUCGCCGUCUUUCCUUCCCCAUGGUGGCGGAGCGGCAGCGUCAAGAGCGAAGGAGCCGGAUGCGGUGGACAGAUUGAGGGAGAAGAAGGAGAAUGGACGUGCAUAGUGCAAGCGCCUCGGCCUCAUCACUUUUAAAGGCCAACUUCCGAGUGGCUGGCGCGCGGGCCCGGGCGAUCCUGUCAAAUCCCUCAACAGUCGCGUGAUACGUCUCCAUCCUAUCUAUAUUUUUUUAUUGUUCCAUGCCAAUAUUAUUCAACUUCAUACACUUUUGGCAACUUUUUAUACUAUUUUUGGGACUAACAUAUUGAUCCAGUGCCUAGUGCCAGUUCCUGUUUGUUGCAUGUUUUAUGUUUCGCAAAAACCCCUUAUCAAACGGAAUCCAAACGGGAUAAAAACGGAUGGAGAAUAUUUUUGGAAUAUUUGGAGAAUUUCGGUAGAAAAAUCCACGUGAGAUGGUGCCCAAGGGAGGCAUGAGGCAGGGGGCGCCCCACCCCUUGGGCGCGCCCCUGAUCCUCGUGGGCUCCUCGUAAAGCGGUUGAUGCCCUUCUUCGGCCAGAAGAAAGCUAAUUUUUGGGGAAAAUCACAGCAAAGAUUUUAGUCCAAUCGGAGUUACGAAUCUCCAUAUAUACACGAAACGGUGAAAGGGCAGCAGAACAGAACGCGGAAACAGAGAGAGACAGAGAGACAGAUCCAACCUCGGAGGGGCUCUCGCCCCUCCCAUGCCAUGGAGACCAAGGACCAGAGGGGAAACCCUUCUCCCCUCUAGGGAGGAGGUCAAGGAAGAAGAAGAAGGGGGGACCUCUCCCCCUCGCUUCCGGUGGCACUGGAGUGCCACCGGGGGCCAUUAUCAUCACCGCAAUCUUCACCAACAACUUCACCGCCAUCAUCACCAACUCUUCCCCCCUCUAUGCAGCGGUGUAACCUCUCUCUUACCCACUGUAAUCUCUACUUAAACAUGGUGCUCAACGCUAUAUAUUAUUCCCCAAUGAUGUAUGGUUAUCCUAUGAUGUUUGAGUAGAUCCAUUUUGUCCUAUGGGUAAUUUGAUGAUCGUGAUUGGUUUUGAGUUGCAUGUUUUAUUAUUGGUGCUGUCCUAUGGUGCUCUCCGUGUCGCGCAAGCGUGAGGGAUUCCCGAUGUAGGGUUUGCAAUAUGUUCAUGAUUUGCUUAUGGUGGGUGGCGUAAGUGACAGAAGCUCAGACCCGAGUAAGUAGGUUGUUUGCGUAUGGGAUAAAGAGGACUUGAUAAUUUAAUGCUAUGGUUGAAUUUUACCUUAAUGAUCUUUAGUAGUUGCGGAUGCUUGCUAGAGUUCCAAUCAUAAGUGCAUAUGAUGCAAGUAGAGAAAGUAUGUUAGCUUAUGCCUCUCCCUCAUAUAAAAUUGCAAUAAUGAUUACCGGUCUAGUUAUCGAUUGCCUAGGGACAAAUAACUUUCUCGUAACGAAAAGCUCUUUACUAAAACUAACUUAGUUGUGUCUUUACCUAAACAGCCCCUACUUUUUAUUUACGUAAUCUUUAUUAUCUUGCAAACCUAUCCAACAACACCUACAAAGUACUUCUAGUUUCAUACUUGUUCUAGGUAAAGCGAACGUCAAGCGUGCGUAGAGUUGUAUUGGUGGUCGAUAGAACUUGAGGGAAUAUUUGUUCUACCUUUAGCUCCUUGUUCGGUUCGACACUCUUACUUAUCGAAAGAGGCUACAAUUGAUCCCCUAUACUUGUGGGUUAUCAAGACCUUUUUCUGGCGCCGGCGUGGGGUGAAUAUUCUUGUGUGUGCUUGUUUGCUUUAUCACUAAGUAUUUUUUUUAUUUUCUAUUAUUAGUUGUUUUCUAUCUUUAGUUAUGGGUAGGAAACGCAAAAUACCAAAAAAAAUCAGUUGUACCUACUGAACCAAUGGUUGAAGAACCAUUCAAAAUCAAUCACACUCCUGAAGCUUAUUACUUGGAUCAUCUUCGAUCCCUAUGUGCUCGUGCUGAAACCCCAACUAUGUUAGUUGAGGGAAAAUCUUUAGAUGAGCACGCUUGUUAUGUGCGACACCGUAUAUCUGAAAAAGGGAAACUUUUACUAGGUUAAAUUCAUCGUUUGCAAUGCUAUGCUUGGAAUUUAUGUGAAAUAUAUGAUUUUACUUGUUGUUCUGAAUACCCUAAGAAACACCUUCCUUAUCAAUGUGCGUUUAGUGAUAAUGGAAUCGUAUCUUCGUAUGCUAAGGGUGUUUGUAAUUACAAUGAUGUUCAACAAAUUGAAGAAUUUGUUGCUUUUAAGGGUGCUUACGAAAUUGCUUCUUUGAUUGGAAAGUAUGAUGCUACUCUUUACAAAUCUGAAAAUUUUGCCAUACUUAAAUAUUGCUAUGAUAAUUAUGCUUCUAAUGCCUAUGUUGAACCAUAUAUUGAGGACUACUCCGCUGUCCAAGAAGAGACUAAUAUUUUGCAGGAGUCUAUGGAAGAAGAAAUUGGUAAAACUGUGAGCUCAUUGGAUGAAAAAGAUGAGGAGGAGAGCGAAGAACAAAAGGAGGAAGAGAGGAUUAGCUACCCGUGCCCACCUUCUAAUGAGAGUAACGCUUCAACUCAUACAUUGUUUAAUUUCUCUUCAUGAUUACCGAAGGAUGAUUGCUAUGAUGAUUGUUAUGAUCCCGUUGAUUCUCUUGAAAUAUCCCUUUUUGAUGAUGCUUGCUAUGCUUGUGGCCAUGAUGCCAAUAUGAAUGAUGCUUAUGGAGAGGAACUUGCUAUAGUUCCUUAUGUUAAACAUGAAAUUGUUGCUAUUGCACCCUCGCAUGGUAGUCCUAUUAUCUUUUUGAAUUCUCCCGACUACACUAUAUUGGAGAAGUUUGCACUUAUUAAGGAUUAUAUUGAUGAGUUGCGUUUUACUAUUACACAUGAUGAUUUGGAUGAAUAUAAUAUGCAUGUGCUUGCUGCUCCUACUUGCAAUUAUUAUGAGAGAGGAACUACAUCUCCACCCCUCUAUGUUUCCAACAUGGUAAAAUUGCAAGAAAUUGUUUAUACUAUGCAUUGGCCUUUACUGUGUGUGCAUGAAUUGUUCUUUUAUGAUAUGCUGAUGCAUAGGAAGAGAGUUAGACUUCGUCAUUGCUUGAUAUAUGUUACUUUGUGCUCACUACUAAAUUACAAAUCAUUGCUAAUUAAAAUUGGCUUCGAUAUACCUUGGGAUCCGGGUGGAUCCAUUACUUGAGCACUAUAUGCCUAUCUUAAUGGCUUUAAAGAAAGCGCUGCCAGGAAGACAACCUGGAAGUUUUAGAGAGUCAUUUAUUUCUGUUGUGUGCUUUUAUAAAGUUUAAAUAUAAAAUUAAUGUGCCAAGGUUUGCCUUUAGGGUGUUUUAGAUGCUUGUUGGUUUGUACGGUGCAGGACAGAAACUUUGGUUGUAGUGCACGAUUUUAAGUUUUUUACUGGAACGUCAAAUAGUUCUGAAACUUUUUGCACUGUAUUUAUAUACAAAUUGUUUAUAUUUCCUAAUUUUUGUAGAAUUGUUUAAGUAUCAUAAGUAUGGUGAAUGUUCAGAUUAUUACAGACUGUUCUGUUUUAGACAGAUUCUAUUUUUGAUGCAUAGUUUGCUUGUUUUGAUGAAACUAUCAAUUUAUAUCAGUGGAUUAAGCCAUGAAAAAGUUAUAUUACAGUAGCUACAAUGCCAAAACAAAAUAUUAAUUGGUUUUCAACAGUACUUAGAGUAGUGAUUUUCUUUAUUAUACUAACGGAUCUUACCGAGUUUUCUGUUGAAGUUUUGUGUGGAUGAAGUGUUCGAUGAUCGAGAAGGUCUCGAUGUGAUAAGAAGGAAGAGAGGCAAGAGCUCAAGCUUGGUGAUGACCUAGGCACCCCAAGUAAAUAUUCAGGGAGACUCAAGCGUCUAAGCUUGGGGAUGCCCCGGAAGGCAUCCCCUCUUUCUUCAACAAGUAUCGGUAUGUUUUCGGAUUCGUUUCGUUCAUGCGAUAUGUGCAAAUCUUGGAGCGUCUUUUGCAUUUGGUUUUCACUUCUCUUUUAUGCACCAUGCUGGUAUGAGAUGGUCCUUGGUUUAUUUAUAGAAUGCUCUAUGCACUUCACAUAUAUCUUUUGAGUAUGGCUUUAUAGAAUGCUUCAUGUGCUUCACUUAUAUCAUUUGAAGUUUGGAUUGCCUGUUUCUCUUCACUUAGACUACCGCCAUUUGUAGAAUGCUCUUUUGCUUCACUUAUAUUUGUUAGAUCAUGGGCAUAUCUUUUGUAGAAAGAAUUAAACUCUCUUGCUUCACUUAUAUCUAUUUAGAGAGAUGACAGGAACUGGUCAUUCACAUGGUUAGUCAUAAAAUCCUACAUAAAACUUGUAGAUCACUGAAUAUGAUAUGUUUGAUUCCUUGCAAUAGUUUUGCGAUAUAAAGAUGGUGAUAUUAGAGUCAUGCUAGUGGGUAGUUGUGGAUUAGUAGAAAUACUUGUGUUGAGGUUUGUGAUUCCCGUAGCAUGCACGUAUGGUGAACCGUUAUGUAACGAAGUCGGAGCAUGAGGUAUUUAUUGAUUGUCUUCCUUAUGAGUGGCGG
This 38023-nucleotide long non-coding RNA is filed under the name Triticum aestivum (bread wheat). RNAcentral describes it as "long non-coding RNA (TAES_LNC010051)". Lineage: Eukaryota; Viridiplantae; Streptophyta; Magnoliopsida; Poales; Poaceae. The record is from RNAcentral.